RNAcentral lists this unclassified non-coding RNA (837 nucleotides) under Hevea brasiliensis (rubber tree). Lineage: Eukaryota; Viridiplantae; Streptophyta; Magnoliopsida; Malpighiales; Euphorbiaceae. The record is from RNAcentral.
AAUUGUACAAGAACUAUGGAACCUCAAUGGCGGGUCUCAAGGCUAUUGGCUAUGAUUUUGACAACGAUGAAUAUCACAGCUUUGUUCAUGGAAGAUUACCUUAUGAGAAGCUGAAGCCUGACCAUGUUCUAAGGAGUCUUCUGCUUAGCUUGCCUGUCCGUAAAGUUAUAUUCUCAAAUGCUGAUAAAGCCCAUGUGGCUAAAACUCUAAGCAAGCUUGGAUUGGAGGACUGUUUUGAGAGGAUUAUAUGCUUCGAGACCCUUAAUCCCAGUGGCAAAACCAGUACUAGUUUUGAUGAUAAAAAUGAGCUUCAACUUGGAAGUGAAAUGCUUGAAAUCUCUGAUCAUUCUUGUCAAUCUGAUAUUGGUUCAAUACUUCCUAAAACUCCAAUCGUCUGCAAACCAUUUGAAAAUGCAUUUGAACAGGCCUUUAAAUUGGCUAACAUCAAACCUCAAAGAACAAUAUUCUUUGAUGAUAGCAUCCGGAACAUACAGACAGGAAAGCAAAUGGGACUCAGGACUGUGUUGGUGGGCAAAUCGAAUCGAGUUUCGGGGGCUGAUUAUGUUCUUGACAGCAUCCACAAUAUGAAGGAAGCACUGCCAGAACUCUGGGAAGCAAAUAGCAAGAAGUCAGAAACUACAAAAUAUAUAGCAAGUGUUUCAAUUGAAACAUCUGUGACAGCCUAACUUACCACUGUGUAUCUCAGUUUCUGUAACAUCGAUCAUUUGUGCAGGAAAUUUUUAUCCCUACUGAUGAUCAUCAAUAAAGAUUUUGUUUUUGGGAGUCUUAAUUGAUGAAUUUUCCCAACAAUAUUGGCUCUCGCGCACUCGAUAAAGG